RNAcentral lists this ribosomal RNA (466 nucleotides) under uncultured bacterium. RNAcentral describes it as "partial 16S ribosomal RNA". It matches the Rfam family "Bacterial small subunit ribosomal RNA", at positions 28 to 505 of the family's 1533-position model. The record is from RNAcentral.
GACGAACGCUGGCGGCGUGCUUAACACAUGCAAGUCGAACGGAAAGGCCCUGCUUUUGUGGGGUGCUCGAGUGGCGAACGGGUGAGUAACACGUGAGUAACCUGCCCUUGACUUUGGGAUAACUUCAGGAAACUGGGGCUAAUACCGGAUAGGAGCUCCUGCUGCAUGGUGGGGGUUGGAAAGUUUCGGCGGUUGGGGAUGGACUCGCGGCUUAUCAGCUUGUUGGUGGGGUAGUGGCUUACCAAGGCUUUGACGGGUAGCCGGCCUGAGAGGGUGACCGGCCACAUUGGGACUGAGAGACGGCCAAGACUCCUACGGGAGGAAGCAGUGGGGAAUAUUGCAAAAUGGGCGGAAGCCUGAUGCAGCGACGCCGCGUGCGGGAUGACGGCCUUCGGGGUGUAAACCGCUUUCGCCUGUGACGAAGCGUGAGUGACGGUAAGGGGUAAAGAAGCACCGGCUAACUACG